CCUGAGAAACCCAAANNANNGAANUGNNNNNUUCAUCGUCAGAGUNANUAGUACGUGUGCGGUUUGCGAUGCCUGGGACUUCGGUUCCCCGGCACGCGUCCGCAUAGUUUUUAUUACCUGGUAACGUCGGCGUGCACUCUUCUCCUAGUAGGACGUCGCGACCCGUUGGGUGUCGGUCUACGGCCCGGGUGGGCGCCUGUCUCGUGUGCGCUUCACGGCGUCACUGCGGAGCAGACCCCCGGUUUCCUGGCCGGCUGCCUGGCGGUACUCGCAAGGUAUCCAGCCGCAAAUAUCCGAACUGCGUCUGGCCCGUCGCAAGCGAGGCCAGUGUUUCCCGAAUGUACGGAUCUUAUGCUGGCAUCGGGCCUGGCCAGCUGUUGGCUGAUGGUGUCCUAGGACCAGCUGCAACAAAAUUAUGAUACCGGUCAGCGAUGCUCCUGAUUCGGGUACUUUUAGGACCCAUCUUGAAACAGNGACCAAGGAGUCUAUCAUGUCCGUGAGACAUUGGGACUUAUGAAGCCUAAAGGCGCAAUGAAAGUAAAGGUCGGCCUUGCNCCGACCGAGGGAGGAUGGGCCGGUCCCUCAAAGGGUCGGUCCCGCACUCCCGGGACGUCUCGUUCUCAUU
RNAcentral lists this ribosomal RNA (625 nucleotides) under Woldstedtius holarcticus. RNAcentral's name for it is "partial 28S ribosomal RNA". Lineage: Eukaryota; Metazoa; Arthropoda; Insecta; Hymenoptera; Ichneumonidae. The record is from RNAcentral.